This 484-nucleotide ribosomal RNA is filed under the name uncultured bacterium. RNAcentral's name for it is "partial 16S ribosomal RNA". It matches the Rfam family "Bacterial small subunit ribosomal RNA", at positions 30 to 507 of the family's 1533-position model. The record is from RNAcentral.
AUUGAACGCUGGCGGCAGGCCUAAUACAUGCCAGUCGAGCGGAUGAAGGGGGCUUGCGCCCGGAUUCAGCGGGCGACGGACGAGUAAUUCAUACGAAUCUGACUGGUCGUGGAGGAUAGCGUCAGGAAACGGGCCCUAAUAUCGUACACGAUCAGAGGUAGAAAGUGGGGGAUCUUGGGAGCACACGGUAUUAGAUUAACCGAGGUCUGAUUAGCUAGUGGGUGGGGUAAAGGCCUACGAAGGCGACGACCCGUAACUGGACUGAGAGGCGGAUCAGUAAAACUGGAACUGAGACACGGUCCAGACUCCUACGGGAGGCAGCGGUGGGGAAUAUUGGCAAAUGGGCGAAAGCUUGACGCAGCCAUGCCGCGGGUGUGAGGAAGGUCUUCGGAUUGUAAACCACUUUAAGUUGGGAGGAAGGUCAGUAAAUUAAAACCUUGCUGUUUUGACGGUACCAACAGAGUAAGCACCGGCUAACUUCGUG